AUGAUAAUCUACUAUUGGUCUUUUCUAUAACAAAGCUGUAAAUAAACUCAGGUUCAAAAUGUCAUACAAUGAGCUCCAUAAAACAAGACGAAUCAAAACUUUUGACCAAGUACUGUUGCUAGAUUAUCUAGAUAAAAAAAUAAGACUAAUACAUGAUAGAACAUCUGCAAAGAGCUUACUGCUUUCGUUCCUCGAACACUGCUGCACUUCUUAAUGGUUUCGGAGUUUGGGCAUGAUGAGAUAGAUUACUCAGUCCAGCUUCACAGAAGAGAA
This 273-nucleotide unclassified non-coding RNA is filed under the name Hevea brasiliensis (rubber tree). Lineage: Eukaryota; Viridiplantae; Streptophyta; Magnoliopsida; Malpighiales; Euphorbiaceae. The record is from RNAcentral.